Molecule: transfer RNA, 73 nt
Filed under: Phycisphaerales bacterium
Lineage: Bacteria; Pseudomonadati; Planctomycetota; Phycisphaerae; Phycisphaerales
Description: tRNA-Gln
Rfam family: tRNA
About the family: Transfer RNA (tRNA) molecules are approximately 80 nucleotides in length. Their secondary structure includes four short double-helical elements and three loops (D, anti-codon, and T loops).
Source: RNAcentral
UGGGGUGUGGUGCAACUGGCAGCACGUCUGACUCUGGAUCAGAAGGUUCCAGGUUCGAGUCCUGGCACCCCAG